UACGUAGGGAGCAAGCGUUGUCCGGAAUCAUUGGGCGUAAAGCGCGCGUAGGUGGCCUCAUAAGUCCGCUGUGAAAGUCAAAGGCUCAACCUUUGAAAGCCGGUGGAUACUGUGGGGCUAGAGUCCGGAAGAGGAGUGUGGAAUUCCCGGUGUAGCGGUGAAAUGCGCAGAUAUCGGGAAGAACACCCGUGGCGAAAGCGGCUCACUGGACCAUAACUGACGCUGAUGCACGAAAGCUAGGGGAGCAAACAGG
This 253-nucleotide ribosomal RNA is filed under the name uncultured bacterium. RNAcentral describes it as "partial 16S ribosomal RNA". It matches the Rfam family "Bacterial small subunit ribosomal RNA", at positions 524 to 776 of the family's 1533-position model. The record is from RNAcentral.